CUAAUUUUGAUUACAAGAAAUCAAGUAAACAAACCUCCAUCUCUCUCUCUCUCUCUCUCUCUCUCUCUCUAUAUAUAUAUAUAUAUGUAUGUAUGUAUGUGUGUACAUAUAUAUAUGUAUGUAUGUAUGUGUGUACAUAUAUAUAUGUAUGUAUAUUAACUGGAACCUAAAGCAGCAAACCCGCCACCUUUCAUCAUCUGCUUAAACUCCUUGAAGUUAACCAUGCCAUCUCCGUCAACAUCCACC
Molecule: long non-coding RNA, 246 nt
Filed under: Carica papaya (papaya)
Lineage: Eukaryota; Viridiplantae; Streptophyta; Magnoliopsida; Brassicales; Caricaceae
Description: long non-coding RNA (CPAP_LNC012106)
Source: RNAcentral